This 593-nucleotide ribosomal RNA is filed under the name Salmonella enterica subsp. enterica serovar Infantis. RNAcentral describes it as "partial 23S ribosomal RNA". It matches the Rfam family "Bacterial large subunit ribosomal RNA", at positions 1 to 631 of the family's 2925-position model. Lineage: Bacteria; Pseudomonadati; Pseudomonadota; Gammaproteobacteria; Enterobacterales; Enterobacteriaceae. The record is from RNAcentral.
GGUUAAGCGACUAAGCGUACACGGUGGAUGCCCUGGCAGUCAGAGGCGAUGAAGGACGUGCUAAUCUGCGAUAAGCGCCGGUAAGGUGAUAUGAACCGUUAUAACCGGCGAUUUCCGAAUGGGGAAACCCAGUGUGACUCGUCACACUAUCAUUAACUGAAUCCAUAGGUUAAUGAGGCGAACCGGGGGAACUGAAACAUCUAAGUACCCCGAGGAAAAGAAAUCAACCGAGAUUCCCCCAGUAGCGGCGAGCGAACGGGGAGGAGCCCAGAGCCUGAAUCAGCAUGUGUGUUAGUGGAAGCGUCUGGAAAGGCGCGCGAUACAGGGUGACAGCCCCGUACACAAAAGCGCAUGUGCUGUGAGCUCGAUGAGUAGGGCGGGACACGUGGUAUCCUGUCUGAAUAUGGGGGGACCAUCCUCCAAGGCUAAAUACUCCUGACUGACCGAUAGUGAACCAGUACCGUGAGGGAAAGGCGAAAAGAACCCCGGCGAGGGGAGUGAAAAAGAACCUGAAACCGUGUACGUACAAGCAGUGGGAGCACAGGUUUACCUGUGUGACUGCGUACCUUUUGUAUAAUGGGUCAGCGACUUAU